UACAGAGGUGGCAAGCGUUGUUCGGAAUUACUGGGCGUAAAGGGCGCGUAGGCGGCCAUCUAAGUCAGACGUGAAAUCCCCCGGCUUAACCUGGGAACUGCGUCUGAUACUGGACGGCUUGAGUUCGGGAGAGGGAAGCGGAAUUCCGGGUGUAGCGGUGAAAUGCGUAGAUAUCCGGAGGAACACCGGUGGCGAAGGCGGCUUCCUGGACCGACACUGACGCUGAGGCGCGAAAGCUAGGGGAGCAAACGGG
RNAcentral lists this ribosomal RNA (253 nucleotides) under uncultured bacterium. Its description in RNAcentral is "partial 16S ribosomal RNA". It matches the Rfam family "Bacterial small subunit ribosomal RNA", at positions 524 to 776 of the family's 1533-position model. The record is from RNAcentral.